GCGGGAGUGGCGUAAUUGGCAGCCGCGCGGCGUUUAGGUCGCCGUGUCCUUCGGACGUGUGGGUUCGAAUCCCACCUCCCGCA
This 83-nucleotide transfer RNA is filed under the name Thermocrispum agreste. RNAcentral's name for it is "tRNA-Leu". It matches the Rfam family "tRNA". Rfam says of the family: Transfer RNA (tRNA) molecules are approximately 80 nucleotides in length. The record is from RNAcentral. Lineage: Bacteria; Bacillati; Actinomycetota; Actinomycetes; Pseudonocardiales; Pseudonocardiaceae.